Molecule: non-coding RNA, 72 nt
Organism: Acomys russatus (golden spiny mouse)
Lineage: Eukaryota; Metazoa; Chordata; Mammalia; Rodentia; Muridae
Source: the annotation of a RefSeq genome assembly
GGGGGUGUAGCUCAGUGGUAGAGCGCGCGCUUAGCAUGUGUGAGGCCCCGGGUUCGAUUCUCGGCAUCUCCA